RNAcentral lists this ribosomal RNA (253 nucleotides) under uncultured bacterium. Its description in RNAcentral is "partial 16S ribosomal RNA". It matches the Rfam family "Bacterial small subunit ribosomal RNA", at positions 524 to 776 of the family's 1533-position model. The record is from RNAcentral.
UACGUAGGGGGCAAGCGUUGUCCGGAAUCAUUGGGCGUAAAGAGCGCGCAGGCGGUCGUUCAAGUCGCGUGUGAAAGCCCCCGGCUCAACUGGGGAGGGUCACGCGAUACUGAUCGACUCGAAGGCAGGAGAGGGAAGUGGAAUUCCCGGUGUAGUGGUGAAAUGCGUAGAUAUCGGGAGGAACACCAGUGGCGAAGGCGACUUCCUGGCCUGUUCUUGACGCUGAGGCGCGAAGGCUAGGGGAGCAAACGGG